GUGCCAGCCGCCGCGGUAAUACGAAGGGUGCAAACGUUGCUCGGAAUCAUUGGGCGUAAAGCGCACGUAGGCGGCGAUCUAAGUCGGAUGUGAAAUCCCUCGGCUCAACCGAGGACGUGCAUCCGAAACUGGAUUGCUCGAGUAUGGAAGAGGGUCGCGGAAUUCUCGGUGUAGAGGUGAAAUUCGUAGAUAUCGGGAGGAACACCAGUGGCGAAGGCGGCGACCUGGGCCAAUACUGACGCUGAGGUGCGAAAGCGUGGGGAGCAAACAGGAUUAGAAACCCGUGUAGUCC
This 292-nucleotide ribosomal RNA is filed under the name uncultured bacterium. RNAcentral's name for it is "partial 16S ribosomal RNA". It matches the Rfam family "Bacterial small subunit ribosomal RNA", at positions 505 to 796 of the family's 1533-position model. The record is from RNAcentral.